AUACAAGGUAUUGAUCCUGAGUGUGUCUGUGAGGGUGUUGCCAAAAGAGGUUAACAUGUGAGUCAGUGGGCUGGGAAAGGCAGACCCACCCCUAAUCUGGGUGGGCACAAUCUAAUCAGCUGCCAGGUCGGCUAGAAUAUAAACAGGCAGAAAAAUGUGAAAAGAGAGACUGGCCUAGCUUCUCAGCCUACACCUUUCUCCCGUGCUGGAUGCUUCCUGCCCACCAACAUCAGACGCCAAGUUCUUCAGUUUUGGAACUCAGAUUGGCUCUCCUGGCUCCUCAGCCUGCAGAUGGCCUAUUGUGGAACCUUGUGAUUUUAACUUUGGUCUAUUUUUCUGGUGAAUAAUAUGUAGCAGGACUGGUACCAGAACCAGGUCAUCCAGAGAUGUUCUGUCUGCUGCCAUCAACUCGGGACCUCAGAAGGUGGUACUCCUCCCCUAAAGGUCAUGUGAAAGACUGUGUAUAAUUCAGAAGAGAUAUUUCUACAGUGAAAAAAAAUACCCCAUAUUUAAAUCAAUUCAAGUUUCUUCUUGACAUCUAGGCUGUAUCUAGGACACAUCUGGACAUCUGGAAACAUCCAAAUUUGACUGACUUUUCCAGUUUUCAGCAGAACAUUUAGUAAAUAAAAGAAUAAGAAACUUGUACUAAUCAUAUAUUUUUUUGAAAGUCAACAGCAUUUCAGUGGGGCUGAUGUCCUCAUGGCCUGGCCUUUAUUUCUUGCCUCAUGUCAGACUUAACCCAUGUUGGUGGAGGAGGCUGACAUUCAAAGGGUGUGGUUUUUGAGGUUGCCACAUGCCUUGCCAUGACUUAAAAUAUCUCUCUCUGGCUGCCAGAUGGCCUGGGGAAGCACCAGACACAGGCUCCAUUGACCUCAGAACUUGUUGCUUUAGGACUGGAAGCUCUUUC
RNAcentral lists this long non-coding RNA (907 nucleotides) under Homo sapiens (human). Its description in RNAcentral is "HSALNT0046067". The record is from RNAcentral. Lineage: Eukaryota; Metazoa; Chordata; Mammalia; Primates; Hominidae.